UUUUAAUAUUAUCAUACAUUUAUUAUAUAUGAAGCAUUUUUUUAAGUUAAACAAUCCCAAAGAGCUUUACAAACUUAACAAAUUAGAGCAGCAGCACUGAGGUGCAGCUGGCUCUGGGGUGGAGAGCAGUGACCAAACACCACGCAGCGCACUACAGAACAGUGUGGGAAGGGAAAGCCAAGGACACUGACGUAAGCUCCUACUUUUACAAGAAGUGCAAUGGGAUCGUAAACAUCCCUGUGGCAUAGGCAGAGUCUCAGUUUUGAUACCUACCAUCACCCAGUAAACUAAAUGGUCUACAUUUUAUAGGAAGGAAAAAAGGUUGAGGUCAGUUCUGCUGGGAUCAGAACUGAUGGUGUCGAGGUGUUGCAAACCUAAUGUUUAGGCUGCUCAGCCAUCCUUGCUAGCUGUCACUUUGGGAGAGAAAGAAGCUAUAGAUCCCGUAUAACAAUGAAAGCCCUAAUGGAUCAGUGCAUGGUAAUCAAACUGUAAAUUCCCUGGGGCAAAGAAUGUCUCAUAUAUAUGUUUGCACCAUGCUGGACACAGUAAUGAUGCUCAGAAAAAGAACAGUUAUUCCCCGUGGGGGUCCUUGGGUGGAUCGUUGGUCUAAUAUCACUUUUAAACACUGGAAAGUAAGCUGAGUCUGGCACUAUAGCAGCUGGACAGGGCUGGGAAUGGGAGAGCUGUUGUGUGAACGGGAAUCUGGCAGAGGUUGUGGGGAAUUGCAACUUUCAAAGUCUGUUCUGUUGACUCUUCGCUAAUAUGUUGGUUCUUUGUAUCUCUCUGUCUUGUCUUUACUGUAAGCACUUCAGGGCAGGAAUGAACUCUUCUAAAGUCUUGUUUACAUGAGAAAGUUUUGACCAGUUAUACCACUAUAAUUAUAUCAUUGUAGUUAACCUGAUAUACUGGUAUGACUCCAGAUGAGGACACCAUUUUUUUCUGAUUUGAGUGGCUUCGGGGAAUGGGGUACAGGAAACCCAGGAAGCAUCCUUACCUGGAUAGAGUUCGGCUGCGGCAGCUGCUGCAACAGAGAGGAAGCGUGUUUUCUGUUUGACGGCUAAGCUCCAAAUUACAACCGCUCUGACGAUGCCUGGCUGUGUGGUUACUCAUGGUCUUCUCUUCACAAAUCAGGUGAACUGGUUAUCUAUUUUAAAAAAACGGGGGUGAGGGGAGGCGAGGCGGAGAGGAAAUCAGGCAGUUUCCUGUUUGUUUGUGCUGAACAAAAAUGUGUUUGGUUGUUCUGAGUGAUAAGUAAGCCUGCAAGCAGCCUUAGAGAGUCUAGAGCUCAGCUAUGCAAAUUAACAUUAGAGAAUUGUA
RNAcentral lists this long non-coding RNA (1317 nucleotides) under Gopherus agassizii (Agassiz's desert tortoise). RNAcentral describes it as "lncRNA (ENSGAGG00000021629.1)". The record is from RNAcentral. Lineage: Eukaryota; Metazoa; Chordata; Testudines; Testudinidae.